AUUGAACGCUGGCGGCAUGCCUUACACAUGCAAGUCGAACGGUAACAGGUCUUCGGAUGCUGACGAGUGGCGAACGGGUGAGUAAUACAUCGGAACGUGCCUAGUAGUGGGGGAUAACUACUCGAAAGAGUGGCUAAUACCGCAUGAGAUCUACGGAUGAAAGCAGGGGAUCGCAAGACCUUGUGCUACUAGAGCGGCCGAUGGCAGAUUAGGUAGUUGGUGGGAUAAAAGCUUACCUAGCCGACGAUCUGUAGCUGGUCAGAGAGGACGAUCAGCCACACUGGGACUGAGACACGGCCCAGACUCCUACGGGAGGCAGCAGUGGGGAAUUUUGGACAAUGGGCGAAAGCCUGAUCCAGCAAUGCCGCGUGCAGGAUGAAGGCCUUCGGGUUGUAAACUGCUUUUGUACGGAACGAAAAGCCCCGGGUUAAUACCCUGGGGUCAUGACGGUACCGUAAGAAUAAGCACCGGCUAACUACGUGCCAGCAGCCGCCGUAA
RNAcentral lists this ribosomal RNA (498 nucleotides) under uncultured bacterium. RNAcentral's name for it is "partial 16S ribosomal RNA". It matches the Rfam family "Bacterial small subunit ribosomal RNA", at positions 30 to 523 of the family's 1533-position model. The record is from RNAcentral.